Molecule: unclassified non-coding RNA, 241 nt
Filed under: Glomeraceae sp.
Lineage: Eukaryota; Fungi; Glomeromycota; Glomeromycetes; Glomerales; Glomeraceae
Description: partial contains 5.8S ribosomal RNA and internal transcribed spacer 2
Rfam family: 5.8S ribosomal RNA (bases 1-70)
Source: RNAcentral
GUGAUCAUCGAAUUUUUGAACGCAAAUUGCGCUUCCUGGCAUCCCGGGAAGUAUGCCUGUUUGAGGGUCAGUAUUAACAAAAAAUCGGUUUGGUUGCAAAUUGUGACGUUUCCGGAGUUUGGGCUAUCUUAACUUUUUUGGUUAAGGGGCUUAAAAUUGACCUUAUUUGCGCAUUUUUAGACGUACAUAAAUUUUUUUUUUUUCCUUUUUUUCUUAUUCCAAAAUCCUAUUAGAUUCCAUU